AGAGUCAGAAAGUGUAUUCUGUUACAUUACUAUCCGUUCACCCUUAUAUAAUCUCCUUGGGGCUGUCCCUGUUCAUUUAGGAGCAGGAGCCUGAUUUCCAAGCUGUUACUUUCCCUGCCUCCAGUACGCACCUCGCCCCGUGUCCAGACUACAGGUCCACAUUAAGAGUUCUAUUUCCUCUGCUUCCACUUCAUUCUGAUCGUCCGCAGCUUCUGCCUAACUCAGCGGGGCUUCAACCCACUGCUGGGCUACCAGACCCUUUUCCUGCGGAGGUUCCAGCCCGGCGCACGGCUCUUCAUUCCCUGGGAAGCAGGUUUCUCCCCUCCUCCAGUAUAAUCCCACGGGGCAUAAUUCACGUUGUCCGGGACCAGACUGCCCAUACUUGUGCCGUGCCCCGCCCCCCUCCUCCUCGGACAGUGACACACAACGGGAUCCAGUGUCUCCAGGGGCUGGAUCUGGUAAUGGCAGACUGCUUAUUUCUAGCAUUACCAAUGUUGCCUUACAUAGCUCCCAUGAACUACUGUGGCUUAGGUGUCUUCACUUCUCUGAAGUACAGAGUCCAGUUGAUGGUGCAUCCCAGAAUUGUCAUCCAAAUGAUGUUCUCUAGGAAAGGUCAGAUACAUUCCAGAGAUGGAGGAGCCAAGGAAGGAGGAAAAGCAGCCUGAGAACAAAGGGCCUCAGACCACAGAAGGGCAGACACAAGAGUGCCUCAUAACAUCUGGCUCCUCUCUCCAGUCUAGACUAAGUUCUCAACCAACUCUUUGCUUGGCAUAGCUGGCUGAUAAAUUGUGUGGCUGAAUUGCUGCAAACCCUAGCACUGUCCAAGGUCCAUUAGCCAUCUGAUGUCAAGUCCUGCAGAUCUUGUGUUUGGCUAGAGGAGUUAAUGUAACUGACCAUGCUACUACCCUGAUUUGUUGGAUGAGCUGUUACCAAUUCUUUACUGUAGAAGGUAAGUCACCAUUGAUAGUUGAGUCCCAUCUAAGGGCACAUUUACACUACAGCCGGGAUUGAUGCUCUGAGAUCGAUCCACCAGUGGUCAAUUUAGCGGGUCUAGUAAAGACCUCCCAGAUUGCUCUCCAGUUGACCCCUGUACUCUACCCCCAAUGAGAAAAGUAAGGUAAGUCGAUGGGAGAAAAUCUCCCAUCGACCCCCCGUGGUGUAGACCCCGCAGUAACUCAGUUUGAGGUACGUCAACUCCAGCUAUGUUAUUCACAUAGCUGGAGUUGCGUAGCAUAGGUCCACUUACCGUGGUAGUGUAGACAGUCUCAGACCUAAAAGUCUCUCCCUAAUCCCAAAUCCUGGUGCUGGUCUUGGUUAGUGCUGCUGUGCCAACUCAAGCCCAGGGAAAAUGCAGCCCUGGGAAACCUGCUACUCCUUUUCUCUAUAUUCUCCCCACAAAUAAUACAAUGUGAAAAGCCUUCUGCAGCAAGGCUCUUUCUGACAUCUCCCUUCUACUGCUUCCCCGCAGUCAGUCUCCAGCUGGAGAGUGGAAAGGUUUGAUCUGCUGCUGAAAGCUUCUCGCCCUACUUCGCUGUGACUCUUCUGAUGGAGGAAUCACCCCAACACUAUCUCUAUUCACCUGCACAUCCCAAUGCAGGAGUGACUCUCCCAGGCCACAUGGUUCCCUACAGCAACUUCUACAGCCGCUUUUUUCUGUGCUCAGUCUCUUCACACCCUGCUCCUGAGCUGGUCCAUCUCUCCCCUUCCCUUGCCUCC
Molecule: long non-coding RNA, 1716 nt
Filed under: Chrysemys picta bellii (western painted turtle)
Lineage: Eukaryota; Metazoa; Chordata; Testudines; Emydidae
Description: lncRNA (ENSCPBG00000016634.1)
Source: RNAcentral